RNAcentral lists this transfer RNA (72 nucleotides) under Ictidomys tridecemlineatus (thirteen-lined ground squirrel). RNAcentral's name for it is "Spermophilus tridecemlineatus (thirteen-lined ground squirrel) tRNA". It matches the Rfam family "tRNA". From Rfam's summary of the family: Transfer RNA (tRNA) molecules are approximately 80 nucleotides in length. Their secondary structure includes four short double-helical elements and three loops (D, anti-codon, and T loops). Further hydrogen bonds mediate the characteristic L-shaped molecular structure. tRNAs have two regions of fundamental functional importance: the anti-codon, which is responsible for specific mRNA codon recognition, and the 3' end, to which the tRNAs corresponding amino acid is attached (by aminoacyl-tRNA synthetases). tRNAs cope with the degeneracy of the genetic code in two manners: having more than one tRNA (with a specific anti-codon) for a particular amino acid; and 'wobble' base-pairing, i.e. permitting non-standard base-pairing at the 3rd anti-codon position. Lineage: Eukaryota; Metazoa; Chordata; Mammalia; Rodentia; Sciuridae. The record is from Rfam by way of RNAcentral.
GGGGUUGUGGCUCAGAGGUAGAGCACUUGCCUAGCAUGUGUGAAGCACUGGGUUUGAUCCUCAGCACCACUU